GAUGAACGCUGGCGGCGUGCCUAAUACAUGCAAGUCGAGCGAACGGACGAGAAGCUUGCUUCUCUGAUGUUAGCGGCGGACGGGUGAGUAACACGUGGAUAACCUACCUAUAAGACUGGGAUAACUUCGGGAAACCGGAGCUAAUACCGGAUAAUAUUUUGAACCGCAUGGUUCAAAAGUGAAAGACGGUCUUGCUGUCACUUAUAGGUGGAUCCGCGCUGCAUUAGCUAGUUGGUAAGGUAACGGCUUACCAAGGCAACGAUGCAUAGCCGACCUGAGAGGGAGAACGGCCACACUGGAACUGAGACACGGUCCAGACUCCUACGGGAGGCAGCAGUAGGGAAACUUCCGCAAUGGGCGAAAGCCAGACGGAGCAACGCCGAGGGAGUGAUGAAGGUCUUCGGAUCGUAAAACUCUGUUAUUAGGGAAAAACAUAUGUGUAAGUAACUGUGCACAUCUUGACGGGACCUAAUCAGAAAGCCACGGGUAACUACGGG
RNAcentral lists this ribosomal RNA (497 nucleotides) under uncultured bacterium. RNAcentral describes it as "partial 16S ribosomal RNA". It matches the Rfam family "Bacterial small subunit ribosomal RNA", at positions 28 to 507 of the family's 1533-position model. The record is from RNAcentral.